RNAcentral lists this small RNA (117 nucleotides) under Marmota monax (woodchuck). The record is from RNAcentral. Lineage: Eukaryota; Metazoa; Chordata; Mammalia; Rodentia; Sciuridae.
GACAGGCACACUGACACAUUCUUGUAAUCCCAGCUACUCAGGAGGCUGAAGCAAGAGGAUCACUUGAGCCCAGGAAUUUGGGGCUAGCCAAGGCAACACAGUGAGACCCAGUCUCUU